This 564-nucleotide long non-coding RNA is filed under the name Populus tremula. RNAcentral describes it as "long non-coding RNA (PTRE_LNC000191)". The record is from RNAcentral. Lineage: Eukaryota; Viridiplantae; Streptophyta; Magnoliopsida; Malpighiales; Salicaceae.
CACUAUCCCCAUCCCAAACUCCCAAUUUAUCUCCAUCGCAUCCUUAUACUACUCCGACAUACCCUCCAAAACUUUCACCAAUUCCAUCACCUCCUUAUACUUCACCUCCACCCCCACCACCUAUCCUCAAAUCUCCACCUCCUCCGUGGUUUACACUUCCUCCCUUCUUUCCCUUUAAAUCCCCGCCACCCCCAUCUCCUUCUCCCCCUCCACCUAUCCUCAAAUCUCCACCUCCUCCAAGGUUUACACUUCCUCCUUUAUUUCCCUUUAAAUCCCCGCCACCUCCAUCUCCUUCUCCCCCUCCACCUAUCCUCAAAUCUCCACCUCCUCCGAGGUUUACACUUCCUCCUUUCUUUCCAUUUAAAUCCCCGCCACCUCCAUCUCGUACUCCCCCUCCUUAUAUCCUAAAAUCUCCACCUCCUCCGAGGUUUACACUUCCUCCUUUCUUUCCCUUUAAAUCCCCGCCACCUCCAUCUUCUUCUUCCCCUCCACGCACCCUAAAAUCCUCCAUCUCAUUCAAUAAUUAACCACCUCCUCUAUCCUCCAUGUACCCUUUUUCUUUAA